CUUUGAUGAUGGCGACCGGCGCACGGGUGAGUAACACGUAUCCACCUGCCGACAACACUGGGAUAGCCUUUCGAAAGAAAGAUUAAUACCGGAUGGCUCCGCAUGGGUAAAGAAUUUCGGUUGUCGAUGGGGAUGCGUUCCAUUAGGCAGUUGGCGGGGUAACGGCCCACCAAACCUACGAUGGAUAGGGGUUCUGAGAGGAAGGUCCCCCACAUUGGAACUGAGACACGGUCCAAACUCUACGGGAGGCAGCAGUGAGGAAUAUUGGUCAAUGGACGAGAGUCUGAACCAGCCAAGUAGCGUGAAGGAUGACUGCCUAUGGGUUGUAAACUUCUUUUAUACGGGAAUAAGUGAGCCACGUGUGGCUUUUUGUAUGUACCGUAUGAAUAAGGAUCGGCUAACUCCGUGCCAGCAGCCGCGGUAAUACGGAGGAUCCGAGCGUUAUCCGGAUUUAUUGGGUUUAAAGGGAGCGUAGGCGGGUUGUUAAGUCAGUUGUGAAAGUUUGCGGCUCAACCGUAAAAUUGCAGUUGAUACUGGCGACCUUGAGUGCAACAGAGGUAGGCGGAAUUCGUGGUGUAGCGGUGAAAUGCUUAGAUAUCACGAAGAACUCCGAUUGCGAAGGCAGCUUACUGGAUUGUAACUGACGCUGAUGCUCGAAAGUG
This 662-nucleotide ribosomal RNA is filed under the name uncultured bacterium. Its description in RNAcentral is "bacterial SSU rRNA". It matches the Rfam family "Bacterial small subunit ribosomal RNA", at positions 80 to 761 of the family's 1533-position model. The record is from RNAcentral.